RNAcentral lists this non-coding RNA (45 nucleotides) under Schistosoma haematobium. The record is from RNAcentral. Lineage: Eukaryota; Metazoa; Platyhelminthes; Trematoda; Strigeidida; Schistosomatidae.
ACUUAGCUGACGAGUCCCAAACAGGAUGAAAUGCGCGUCCUGGAU